RNAcentral lists this small RNA (119 nucleotides) under Brevundimonas sp. Root1423. RNAcentral describes it as "Caulobacter sRNA CrfA". It matches the Rfam family "Caulobacter sRNA CrfA". The record is from Rfam by way of RNAcentral. Lineage: Bacteria; Pseudomonadati; Pseudomonadota; Alphaproteobacteria; Caulobacterales; Caulobacteraceae.
UCCCGUUGGUUCCACAGGGUAUUCAUUGACUGAGGCGUUUCGGGGAGGAAACGUCCGCUCGUCAAAGAGCGAAAAGAAGCCCGCCGCGAUGUAUCCCCCGCGGCGGGCUUUUUUGCGUC